AACGCGAAGAACCUUACCUGGGCUUGACAUGCCAGCUAAACUCUNUGAAAGGAGAGGUCCUUCGGGAAGCUGGCACAGGUGNUGCAUGGCUGUCGUCAGCUNGUGUCGUGAGAUGUUGGGUUAAGUCCCGCANCGAGCGCAACCCCUACAAUUAGUUGNUAACAGGUCAAGCUGAGGACUCUAAUUGAACUGCNUACGCAAGUAGAGAGGAAGGAGGGGAUGACGUCAAGUCCUCAUGGCCCUUACGUCCAGGGCUACACACGUGAUACAAUGGUAACUACAGAGGGCAAAACCGCGAGGUUGAGGAAAUCCCUUAAAAGUUAUCCUAGUCCGGAUCGGAGUCUGCAACUCGACUCCGUGNAGCUGGAAUCGCUAGUNAUCGCAGAUCANCAUGCUGCGGUGAAUGUGUU
RNAcentral lists this ribosomal RNA (410 nucleotides) under uncultured marine anaerobic bacterium 90dCC26. RNAcentral's name for it is "partial 16S ribosomal RNA". It matches the Rfam family "Bacterial small subunit ribosomal RNA", at positions 958 to 1372 of the family's 1533-position model. The record is from RNAcentral. Lineage: Bacteria; Pseudomonadati; Chlorobiota.